CGAGCGGAAACGAGUUGUCUGAACCUUCGGGGAACGAUAACGGCGUCGAGCGGCGGACGGGUGAGUAAUGCCUGGGAAAUUGCCCUGAUGUGGGGGAUAACCAUUGGAAACGAUGGCUAAUACCGCAUAAUAGCUUCGGCUCAAAGAGGGGGACCUUCGGGCCUCUCGCGUCAGGAUAUGCCCAGGUGGGAUUAGCUAGUUGGUGAGGUAAUGGCUCACCAAGGCGACGAUCCCUAGCUGGUCUGAGAGGAUGAUCAGCCACACUGGAACUGAGACACGGUCCAGACUCCUACGGGAGGCAGCAGUGGGGAAUAUUGCACAAUGGGCGCAAGCCUGAUGCAGCCAUGCCGCGUGUAUGAAGAAGGCCUUCGGGUUGUAAAGUACUUUCAGCAGUGAGGAAGGUGGUAGUGUUAAUAGCACUAUCAUUUGACGUUAGCUGCAGAAGAAGCACCGGCUAACUCCGUGCCAGCAGCCGCGGUAAUACGGAGGGUGCGAGCGUUAAUCGGAAUUACUGGGCGUAAAGCGCAUGCAGGUGGUUUGUUAAGUCAGAUGUGAAAGCCCGGGGCUCAACCUCGGAAUAGCAUUUGAAACUGGCAGACUAGAGUACUGUAGAGGGGGGUAGAAUUUCAGGUGUAGCGGUGAAAUGCGUAGAGAUCUGAAGGAAUACCGGUGG
Molecule: ribosomal RNA, 673 nt
Filed under: Vibrionaceae bacterium GUDS1224
Lineage: Bacteria; Pseudomonadati; Pseudomonadota; Gammaproteobacteria; Vibrionales; Vibrionaceae
Description: bacterial SSU rRNA
Rfam family: Bacterial small subunit ribosomal RNA
Source: RNAcentral